RNAcentral lists this ribosomal RNA (695 nucleotides) under bacterium StP6-27F. RNAcentral's name for it is "bacterial SSU rRNA". It matches the Rfam family "Bacterial small subunit ribosomal RNA", at positions 57 to 736 of the family's 1533-position model. The record is from RNAcentral.
GCAGUAGAACGCUGAAGACUUUAGCUUGCUAAAGUUGGAAGAGUUGCGAACGGGUGAGUAACGCGUAGGUAACCUGCCUACUAGCGGGGGAUAACUAUUGGAAACGAUAGCUAAUACCGCAUAACAGCAUUUAACCCAUGUUAGAUGCUUGAAAGGAGCAAUUGCUUCACUAGUAGAUGGACCUGCGUUGUAUUAGCUAGUUGGUGAGGUAACGGCUCACCAAGGCGACGAUACAUAGCCGACCUGAGAGGGUGAUCGGCCACACUGGGACUGAGACACGGCCCAGACUCCUACGGGAGGCAGCAGUAGGGAAUCUUCGGCAAUGGGGGCAACCCUGACCGAGCAACGCCGCGUGAGUGAAGAAGGUUUUCGGAUCGUAAAGCUCUGUUGUAAGAGAAGAACGUGUGUGAGAGUGGAAAGUUCACACAGUGACGGUAACUUACCAGAAAGGGACGGCUAACUACGUGCCAGCAGCCGCGGUAAUACGUAGGUCCCGAGCGUUGUCCGGAUUUAUUGGGCGUAAAGCGAGCGCAGGCGGUUUAAUAAGUCUGAAGUUAAAGGCAGUGGCUUAACCAUUGUUCGCUUUGGAAACUGUUAGACUUGAGUGCAGAAGGGGAGAGUGGAAUUCCAUGUGUAGCGGUGAAAUGCGUAGAUAUAUGGAGGAACACCGGUGGCGAAAGCGGCUCUCUGGUCUG